GUACAGUAUCUACCAUGUUCUAUAUAGAUGUACAGUAUCUACCAUGUUCUAUAUAGAUGUACAGUAUCUACCAUGUUAUAAUUAGAUGUACAGUAUCUACCAUGUUCUAUAUAGAUGUACAGUAUCUACCAUGUUAUAAUUAGAUGUACAGUAUCUACCAUGUUAUAAUUAGAGGUACAGUAUCUACCAUGUUAUAAUUAGAGGUACAGUAUCUACCAUGUUAUAAUUAGAGGUACAGUAUCUACCAUGUUAUAAUUAGAGGUACAGUAUCUACCAUGUUAUAAUUAUGCACCAAUUUGUAAGUCGCUCUGGAUAAGAGCGUCUGCUAAAUGACUUAAAUGUAAAUGUAAAUGUUCUAUAUAGAUGUACAGUAUCUACCAUGUUAUAAUUAGAUGUACAGUAUCUACCAUGUUAUAAUUAGAUGUACAGUAUCUACCAUGUUAUAAUUAGACGUACAGUAUCUACCAUGAUUUAAUUAGAGGUACAGUAUCUACCAUGUUAUAAUUAGAUGUACAGUAUCUACCAUGUUCUAUAUAGAGGUACAGUAUCUACCAUGUUAUAAUUAGAUGUACAGUAUCUACCAUGUUAUAAUUAGAUGUACAGUAUCUACCAUGUUAUAAUUAGAGGUACAGUAUCUACCAUGUUAUAAUUAGAUGUACAGUAUCUACCAUGUUCUAUAUAGAUGUACAGUAUCUACCAUGUUAUAAUUAGAUGUACAAUAUCUACCAUGUUAUAAUUAGAGGUACAGUAUCUACCAUGUUAUAAUUAGAUGUACAGUAUCUACCAUGUUCUAUAUAGAUGUACAGUAUCUACCAUGUUAUAAUUAGAUGUAUAGUAUCUACCAUGUUAUAAUUAGAGGUACAGUAUCUACCAUGUUAUAAUUAGAUGUACAGUAUCUACCAUGUUCUAUAUAGAUGUACAGUAUCUACCAUGUUAUAAUUAGAUGUACAGUAUCUACCAUGUUAUAAUUAGAGGUACAGUAUCUACCAUGUUGUAAUUAGAUGUACAGUAUCUACCAUGUUAUAAUUAGAUGUACAGUAUCUACCAUGUUCUAUAUAGAGAUACAGUAUGUACCAUGUUAUAAUUAGAUGUACAGUAUCUACCAUGUUAUAAUUAGAUGUACAGUAUCUACCAUGAUUUAAUUAGAGGUACAGUAUCUACCAUGAUCUAAUUAGAGGUACAGUAUCUACCAUGUUAUAAUUAGAUGUACAGUAUCUACCAUGUUAUAAUUAGAUGUACAGUAUCUACCAUGUUAUAAUUAGAUGUACAGUAUCUACCAUGUUAUAAUUAGAGGUACAGUAUCUACCAUGUUAUAAUUAGAUGUACAGUAUCUACCAUGUUAUAAUUAGAGGUACAGUAUCUACCAUGUUAUAAUUAGAUGUACAGUAUCUACCAUGUUCUAUAUAGAUGUACAGUAUCUACCAUGUUAUAAUUAGAUGUACAGUAUCUACCAUGUUCUAUAUAGAUGUACAGUAUCUACCAUGUUCUAUAUAGAUGUACAGUAUCUACCAUGUUAUAAUUAGAUGUACAGUAUCUACCAUGUUCUAUAUAGAUGUACAGUAUCUACCAUGUUAUAAUAUAGAUGUACAGUAUCUACCAUGUUCUAUAUAGAUGUACAGUAUCUACCAUGUUCUAUAUAGAUGUACAGUAUCUACCAUGUUAUAAUUAGAUGUAUAGUAUCUACCAUGUUAUAAUUAGAGGUACAGUAUCUACCAUGUUAUAAUUAGAUGUACAGUAUCUACCAUGUUCUAUAUAGAUGUACAGUAUCUACCAUGUUAUAAUUAGAUGUACAGUAUCUACCGUGUUAUAAUUAGAGGUACAGUAUCUACCAUGUUAUAAUUAUGCACCAAUUUGUAAGUCGCUCUGGAUAAGAGCGUCUGCUAAAUGACUUAAAUGUAAAUGUUCUAUAUAGAUGUACAGUAUCUACCAUGUUAUAAUUAGAUGUACAGUAUCUACCAUGUUAUAAUUAGAUGUACAGUAUCUACCAUGUUCUAUAUAGAGGUACAGUAUCUACCAUGUUAUAAUUAGAUGUACAGUAUCUACCAUGUUAUAAUUAGAGGUACAGUAUCUACCAUGUUAUAAUUAGAUGUACAGUAUCUACCAUGUUCUAUAUAGAUGUACAGUAUCUACCAUGUUAUAAUUAGAUGUACAGUAUCUACCAUGUUCUAUAUAGAUGUACAGUAUCUACCAUGUUAUAAUUAGAGGUACAGUAUCUACCAUGUUAUAAUUAGACGUACAGUAUCUACCAUGAUUUAAUUAGAGGUACAGUAUCUACCAUGUUAUAAUUAGAUGUACAGUAUCUACCAUGUUCUAUAUAGAGGUACAGUAUCUACCAUGUUAUAAUUAGAUGUACAGUAUCUACCAUGUUAUAAUUAGAGGUACAGUAUCUACCAUGUUAUAAUUAGAUGUACAGUAUCUACCAUGUUCUAUAUAGAUGUACAGUAUCUACCAUGUUAUAAUUAGAUGUACAGUAUCUACCAUGUUAUAAUUAGAGGUACAGUAUCUACCAUGUUAUAAUUAGAGGUACAGUAUCUACCAUGUUAUAAUUAGAUGUACAGUAUCUACCAUGUUCUAUAUAGAUGUACAGUAUCUACCAUGUUAUAAUUAGAUGUACAGUAUCUACCAUGUUAUAAUUAGAGGUACAGUAUCUACCAUGUUGUAAUUAGAUGUACAGUAUCUACCAUGUUCUAUAUAGAGAUACAGUAUCUACCAUGUUAUAAUUAGAUGUACAGUAUCUACCAUGUUAUAAUUAGAUGUACAGUAUCUACCAUGUUAUAAUUAGAUGUACAGUAUCUACCAUGUUAUAAUUAGAGGUACAGUAUCUACCAUGUUGUAAUUAGAUGUACAGUAUCUACCAUGUUCUAUAUAGAGAUACAGUAUCUACCAUGUUAUAAUUAGAUGUACAGUAUCUACCAUGUUAUAAUUAGAUGUACAGUAUCUACCAUGUUAUAAUUAGAUGUACAGUAUCUACCAUGUUAUAAUUAGAGGUACAGUAUCUACCAUGUUAUAAUUAGAUGUACAGUAUCUACCAUGUUAUAAUUAGAGGUACAGUAUCUACCAUGUUAUAAUUAGAUGUACAGUAUCUACCAUGUUAUAAUUAGAUGUACAGUAUCUACCAUGUUAUAAUUAGAUGUACAGUAUCUACCAUGAUUUAAUUAGAGGUACAGUAUCUACCAUGAUCUAAUUAGAGGUACAGUAUCUACCAUGUUAUAAUUAGAUGUACAGUAUCUACCAUGUUAUAAUUAGAUGUACAGUAUCUACCAUGUUAUAAUUAGAUGUACAGUAUCUACCAUGAUUUAAUUAGAGGUACAGUAUCUACCAUGAUCUAAUUAGAGGUAUUUGAUUUGAUAUCUUAUUAGAGGUACAGUAUCUACCAUGAUCUGUUAUUGUGAAGUGGAAACGUUUAGCAGCAACAACGGCUCAGCCGUGGAGGGAAUGGGACCGGCGAGCUCACAGAACAUGACCGCUGACCGCUGAGUGAUGACCGCUGACCGCUGAGUGAUGACCGCUGACCGCUGAAGAGUGUAAAUAUAAUCUGUCCUCGGCUGCAACACUCACUACCAACUUCCAAACUGUCAGCACAAGACCUGUUCGUCGGGAGCUUAAUGAAAUGGUUUUCCAUGGCUGAGCAGCCGCAUACAAGCCUAAGAUCACCAUGUGCAAUGUGAAGUGUCGGCUGUAGCGGUGUAAAGCUUGCCCCCAUUGGACUCUGGAGCCGUGGAAACGUGUUCUCUGGAAUGUUGAAUCAUGCUUCAUCUGGCAGUCCGGCGGGCUCAUCUAGGUUUGGCGGAUGCUAGGAGAAUACUACCUGCCCCAACAUAUAGUGCCAAUGGUAAAGUUUGGUGGAGGAGGAACAAUGGUCUGGGGCUGUUUUUCAUGGUUCGGGCCCCUAGUUCCAGUGAAGGGUAUUUUUAAUGCUACAGUGUACAAUGCUAUUCUGGACGAUAACAAUGCCCCCAUGCCGAAAGCAAGGUCCAUACAGAAAGGGUUUGUCAAGAUCGGUUUGGAAGAACUUCACUGGCCUGCAUAGAGCCCUGACCUCAUCCCCACCAAACACCUUUGGGAUGAAUUGGAAUGCCGACUGUGAGCCAGGCCUAAUCGCCCAAUGUCAGAGCCCAACCUUACAACGCCUCUCCCCUAUUUGACCUAGAUAGUUUGUGUGUAUGCAUUGAUACUGUAUGUAGGCUACGUGUGCCUUUUUAAAGAAUGUAUGUGGUUCGGGCUUUGAGCUGUUCUUGUCUAUUGAAGUUCUGUAUUAUGUUUCAUGUUUUGUGUGGACCCCAGGAAGAGUAGUAAUGUACAUAUUACUUCAAUUAGCCCGACUAACCGGUGCCCCCGCACAUUGGCUACCCGGACUAUCUGCAUUGUGUCACACCAACCCCUCUUUUACGCUGCUGCUGCUCUCUGUUUACCAUAUAUGGAUAGUCACUUUAACCAUGUACAUAUUUGUAUUUAUUUUAACCUUUAUUUAACCAGGCAAGUCAGUUAAGAACAAAUUCUUAUUUUCAAUGACGGCCUGGGAACGGUGGGUUAACUGCAUGUUCAGGGGCUGAAUGACAGAUUUGUACCUUGUCAGCUCGGGGAUUCGAACUUGCAACGUUUCGGUCACUAGUCCAAUGCUCUAACCACUAGGCUACCCGUGCCUCAAUUAGCCCAACUAACCGGUGUAUAUAGCCUCGCUACUGUUAUUUUCACUGUCUUUUUACGGUUGUUUUUAUUUCUUUACUUAUCUAGUGUUCACCUAAUACCUUUUUUAUUCUUAAAAAAAUGCACUGUUGGUUAGAGCCUGUAAAUAAGAAUUUCACUAAGGUCUACACCGGUUUGAUUCGGCGCACGUUACACAAACUUUGAAUUGAUCCUCCAAGAGCUUCUUGCUGCCAAGGGGACGCCUGACAGCUUGAAAGACGUUUUAGACACUACAGUGAAAAUGGUUAACUUUGCUAAAGCAAGGCCCUUGAACUCGUCUAUUUUCUGCAUUAUGCAAUGAUAUGGGCAGCGACCAUGUAAGGCUUUUACAAAAUACAGAAGUUGGAGCUCUUCUCUGUCUGCAUUAACAAGGACAACACACAGGUCUUUCCAUCAUUGUAUGAUUUUUUGUGUGCAAAUGAACUCAAGCUUACGGACAAUGUCAAAUGUGAUAUAGUGAAGCACCUGAGUGAGAUGGGUGUGCAAUUAAGCAGGUACUUUCCCAAAGUGGACAACACAAACAACUGGAUUCGUUAUCCCCUUUCAUGCCCUGUCCACUUACCGAUAUCUGAACAAGAGAGCCUCAUUGAAAUUGCAACAAGGUUCUGUGAAAAUUGUAUUUAAUCAGAAGCCAUUGACAGAUUUCUGGAUAGGGCUGUGCUCAAGAGUUUCUUGCCUUGGCAAAUCUCAUUGUUAAGACAAUGAUGCCGUUUGCAACCACGUACCUAUGUGAGAGUGGAUUCUCGGCCCUCACUAGCAUGAAAACUAAAUACAGGCACGGACUGUGUGUGGAAAAUGAUUUAAGACAGACUCUCUUCAAUACAACCCAACAUUGCAGAAUUAUGUGCAUCCUUUCAAGCACACCCUUCUCAUUAACCUGUGGUGAGUUAUUCACCAUCUUUGAUUGUUGUUGAUUAUUAUUAUUUGUGCCCUGGUCCUAUAAGAGCUCUUUGUCACUUCCCACGAGCCGGGUUGUGACAGAAACUCACACUCAUUCUUAUGUUUAAUAAAUGUAUCGUAUAGUGUGUGUGGCAGGCUUACAAUGAUGGCAAAAAAACAACAUUUGAGAGUGCGACCCUGGUUACCCUACUGUGUUAUUGACUUGUUUAUUGUUUACUCCAUGUGUAACUCUGUGUUGUCUGUUCACACUGCUAUGCUUUAUCUUGGCCAGGUUGCAGUUGUAAAUGAGAACUUGUUCUCAACUAGCCUACCUGGUUAAAUAAAAAAUAAAUAAAAAAAUUGCACAUAA
Molecule: long non-coding RNA, 5935 nt
Organism: Oncorhynchus keta (chum salmon)
Lineage: Eukaryota; Metazoa; Chordata; Actinopteri; Salmoniformes; Salmonidae
Exons: 8
Source: RefSeq, a predicted model, not a curated record